GAUGAACGCUGGCGGCGUGCUUAACACAUGCAAGUCGAACGGUGAACACGGAGCUUGCUCUGUGGGAUCAGUGGCGAACGGGUGAGUAACACGUGAGCAACCUGCCCCUGACUCUGGGAUAAGCGCUGGAAACGGCGUCUAAUACUGGAUAUGUGACGUGAUCGCAUGGUCUGCGUCUGGAAAGAAUUUCGGUUGGGGAUGGGCUCGCGGCCUAUCAGCUUGUUGGUGAGGUAAUGGCUCACCAAGGCGUCGACGGGUAGCCGGCCUGAGAGGGUGACCGGCCACACUGGGACUGAGACACGGCCCAGACUCCUACGGGAGGCAGCAGUGGGGAAUAUUGCACAAUGGGCGCAAGCCUGAUGCAGCAACGCCGCGUGAGGGAUGACGGCCUUCGGGUUGUAAACCUCUUUUAGCAGGGAAGAAGCGAAAGUGACGGUACCUGCAGGAAAAGCGCCGGCUAACUACGUG
Molecule: ribosomal RNA, 468 nt
Filed under: uncultured bacterium
Lineage: Bacteria
Description: partial 16S ribosomal RNA
Rfam family: Bacterial small subunit ribosomal RNA
Source: RNAcentral